GACGAACGCUGGCGGCGUGCCUAAUACAUGCAAGUAGGACGCACAGUCUAUACCGUAGCUUGCUACACCAUAGGCUGUGAGUUGCGAACGGGUGAGUAACGCGUAGGUAACCUGCCUAUUAGAGGGGGAUAACUAUUGGAAACGAUAGCUAAUACCGCAUAACAGUAUGUAACACAUGUUAGAUGCUUGAAAGAUGCAAUUGCAUCGCUAGUAGAUGGACCUGCGUUGUAUUAGCUAGUAGGUAGGGUAAUGGCCUACCUAGGCGACGAUACAUAGCCGAACUGAGAGGGUGAUCGGCCACACUGGGACUGAGACACGGCCCAGACUCCUACGGGAGGCAGCAGUAGGGAAUCUUCGGCAAUGGGGGAACCCUGACCGAGCAACGCCGCGUGAGUGAAGAAGGUUUUCGGAUCGUAAAGCUCUGUUGUUAAGGAAGAACGAGUGUGAGAAUGGAAAGUUCAUACUGUGACGGUACUUAACCAGAAAGGGACGGCUAACUACGUG
This 504-nucleotide ribosomal RNA is filed under the name uncultured bacterium. RNAcentral's name for it is "partial 16S ribosomal RNA". It matches the Rfam family "Bacterial small subunit ribosomal RNA", at positions 28 to 507 of the family's 1533-position model. The record is from RNAcentral.